RNAcentral lists this ribosomal RNA (253 nucleotides) under uncultured bacterium. RNAcentral's name for it is "partial 16S ribosomal RNA". It matches the Rfam family "Bacterial small subunit ribosomal RNA", at positions 524 to 776 of the family's 1533-position model. The record is from RNAcentral.
UACGGAGGGUGCAAGCGUUAUCCGGAUUCACUGGGUUUAAAGGGUGCGUAGGAGGGCAGGUAAGUCAGUGGUGAAAUCUCCAAGCUUAACUUGGAAACUGCCGUUGAUACUAUCUGUCUUGAAUACCGUGGAGGUGAGCGGAAUAUGUCAUGUAGCGGUGAAAUGCUUAGAUAUGACAUAGAACACCGAUUGCGAAGGCAGCUUGCUACACGAUCAUUGACACUGAGGCACGAAAGCGUGGGGAUCAAGCAGG